RNAcentral lists this long non-coding RNA (923 nucleotides) under Astyanax mexicanus (Mexican tetra). RNAcentral's name for it is "lncRNA (ENSAMXG00005010945.1)". The record is from RNAcentral. Lineage: Eukaryota; Metazoa; Chordata; Actinopteri; Characiformes; Acestrorhamphidae.
CCUGCCUUUGUUUUCUGGUUACAUGAAUAAGUAUAAUUUAUAGGCAUAAUUUGUUUUGUGGAGUGUUUUAGAUGAGAACUUUUGACUAAUCUAUUAAUGAAUUUACACCUUCUUUCUUCUUUUCUUCACCAGAGGAACUCCCUCAGCUCACUGUCUUCAUCCAAUAUACAACUGGCGUCACAAAAUGGAGGCAGGAUAAUCAGAAGAUCAACUGGAAGAGUUGUGAAGAGAUGAUUCAGUCUGCUGUGGAAUAUCUGAGAAUAAAUAUGAAGAAGAAUGUUGUUCUUGUUCGCGUGAAUAUAACCGACUGUGAGACUGGAAACAGCAGAUCAGAGAACAUUGUGAGCGACAUAAAUCAGUGCAGCUAUAAUAAUGACACGAACUGCACUACAGUAUACUCUAAAAUACUCCAAAUGUAUGAGUCACUCAACUGGAAGAGAAAGUAUGAAGACUGGCUCAAGAAAUCCCAGGAGUAUUGCAGAAACGCACAAAAAGAGAAAAUCCGAGAUUCAAGCCCAGAAUUUCUGCUGGCGACCAUUUUGCCUGGAGUUCUGCUGGUGUCCGUGGUUAUCUUCAUCUAUAUUAAGAUGAGAGUAACUGGUGAGUAUAUAAUUUACUUUAUAAUCAGUACAAUCCAAAAAUUGCCAAUGAAAUUCACAGGGAAUUCAGCAUCAAUAAUCCAAACAAAUCCUUUAAACUGCCAAACUCCAAAAGUAUUGGAACAUUGAGGUCAGAAGACACUGUAGCAGCUUCUGUCUGAACCCAUGCAUUUUUCUUGUGAGAAAAGUUUUGGAACUGUGACUGUCAGAUGUGUUUGUUUCCCAGAUGUGUCAUGAUAUGAAUUGUUUUCAACUAUUCAGCUAUUUUCUGGUCUAUUUUAAUACACAAGACGAACCACAUUACAAAUUGCAUUAAGUGACACU